Lathyrus oleraceus (garden pea) is the source of this 873-nucleotide long non-coding RNA. RefSeq lists it as uncharacterized. Lineage: Eukaryota; Viridiplantae; Streptophyta; Magnoliopsida; Fabales; Fabaceae. The record is from RefSeq and is a predicted model, not a curated record. The transcript is spliced from 2 exons.
AGGUGUAAGAGCUGAAUAGGGUGCAAAAAGGAUUAAGGGCGCAAGAACCAUUAUUGAACCCCGAGUCACUUGCCUUGAAUCAGAGGGAGGUGUGGUAAGAAAAUCAUGGUGGCCCAUGGUGAAGUGGGAGCCCAAUUAUGCAAAUGAGGGAUGGAAGAGUAUCAUUCCAUGUUCAGAUGAUUCAAAUUGAAAAUGAAAAACAUGCUCUGAACUUCACCACACCCGGCCUGAGAGCCACCUUCCUCUGUCGCCUCCGGCGGCACCGGAAAGCCAAACCAUGAAAACCCUAUAUCAUCCCACUCGUUUGUGUCUCCUCUAUUUGAAUCUAGCAACAAUUUCACACAAUUCCAACCCUGAAGCCUAAACCGAAUCGAAAUUGUGCAAGAACCCUAGGUACUAAAAAGAUAAAUUAAAUCUUCCUCUCAAGGAAUCAAAGCUCAAGUGGUUGGGGCUUUGAUUCCCCACAUCCUAACUCACAUCUCGAUGACAAUCUUGAAGCAAAAGAGAUGGAAAUGAGGAUUUACCCUACCGGAGGCUCUAAAGGCGACGACGGUGAACUUUAAGGUUGAUGCACACAUGAAAGAAGGAUGGAACAAGGCCUAAACAUGUUGUUCAUCUAACUUGCAUUUGAAGUUUUGAAUUAUGGAAAUCAUCAAAGAUCAAGAGUGAAAGAAAAGAUGACUUAUGGAAAAGUGAAAAGAAAUUAGGGUUUAGGAUGGGCAAAAAUAAUCAGUUAACCAAAAAGUCUAACGUAGGUAAAAAGUUGUAUUUUUGUUGGCAUGGAAUGAUUUGCAAUGACUUUGUGAUGUAUUCUAAUGCUAUUUUGUAAUGAAAUCCUCUUUAUUUGAAAUGCAAAUGGACUUGGAAAUGAAA